GAAAAUCCUUGUGUCGCGAUCGCUUCCGUUGCCUUGUCUCGAAAUCUGCAUAAAUACAAAGAUGUAUGUAGCUGUGACUAUAGCUUCGCCGCCGUUGUGCAAAUAUUAAUAUUUUGAGCUAAAACACAUACUUUUGUGAGCUGCAUAAAUAAGCAAGUGCACAUAUGUACAUACAUAUGUAUAGCCGUAUCGCCAAAGUGUCUGAAUAAUCGGUGCGAACGUGGGAAUCGCGCUGGCGUUGCAAGUUCGCGGUGCAGUUGUUGCUGCUGUAACGUCAAUGUGGAGUGUCAAUUAUGUGGAAAUAUAUUUACAAAGAUGCCCCCUGUUUGUGUGUGUGAGUGAUUCUCCUGGCACUGAAUGUCACUAAAAUAGGGUGGGAGUGGAAGUGGAAGUGGGGCUGCCCUCUUUCCAGUGCGUGUAGAUCAGUUACCGCCAGCAACAACAACCCCAACAACAACAAGAACAAGAACAGCAGCAAUAACAAACAAACAAACAAACAAGCCAGCGACAAUUCACAUUCAUUCCCAUUCAUUGCUGCGAUUAUCGCCAGUUUUGCUUUGCUCUUUCACCACGCACGAAUACGAUUACGAAUACGAAUACGAAUACGAACGUAGGAGAAUGUGCGGGGGCUGCGGAGGCCGAAGCGAAUGAAGAGGAAGCGGCAACAGUCGAUAAGUUCGCUCUGGGCACGCCCCCUUAUGACGCCCCCUGUGACGCGUUAUCAGCGGACACCCAAGAAACACAACAAACACAAAGACCUGACCAAAAUCCACACAAAAUGGCGAUAAACUCGAGUGCCAGAGAACCGCCGCGGGCCUAAAAAGUUCGUUCCCCAAAAUAAAAAGGAGGUAAACAAACUCGUUUCUGCCCCACAACAACACAACCCAUGCCCGCCGAAAACCGAGAGAUCCCGCACCACAGAGCCCACCACAACCGGCGAUAAGCAUCCGAAGACGAAGAUUUGGGUGGCCAGUCCACAGAAAACCCCGCACCAACCCCGAAACAAGCGCCUAAGAUGUGUUCCCGCAACAUAAAGAUCUCGGUGGUGCUGUUUCUCGUCCUGAUACCAAUCUUCGCCGCCUUGCCACACAACCACAAUCUGUCGAAGCGCAGCAACUUCUUCGACCUGGAGUGCAAGGGCAUCUUCAACAAGACCAUGUUCUUCCGACUGGACCGCAUCUGCGAGGACUGCUACCAGUUGUUCCGCGAGACGAGUAUACACCGAUUAUGCAUGAAAGACUGCUUUGAUUCAAACUGGUUUGGCGAAUGCCUGAAAGUGCUGUUAAUACCCGAAGAGGAAAUAUCCAACCUACAGCACUUUCUGAGAGUAGUGAACGGCUCGCCCAUAUCCUUCAACAUGGGGCCGCAAACAUAACUCUAAGUCCCCGCCCCACACACCCACACACCCACAGCCCCAACACACCAUACACCACACACCAUACAGCACACAACACACACCACACACCACAGACAGCUGAGAAUCGCUGCGAAUAUCGUGGGUUGGAACGGUCAUCCGCAUCCAGAUACAGAUCCAGAUCCAGAAACAGUCCCACUACGACCACAAAUGCAGAGCCAGAACACAGAAAUCUAAAAUAUUACAACGCCCAAAUUUAAUUCGUACUUAUUUAUUACUGUAUGCCUUACAGUUUUUACUAUAUGUGUUUUUUAAAAACGAAUUAUUUUUAUUAAUUUAUUGAGAACGUUAUGCGUUUGUUGUAAGUAACGUAAUCGGGGAGUGGGAGAUGAUGAUCAGAUGAUCAGGUGAUGAUGAUGCGGAGGAGGAGGAUCGCAGAUCUCGCACUCCCCACAUAUACAUAGAAGCCGAAGUAUUUAUUUUUAAGUAUUCUUAGCCUGUUUUAUUAUUAUUGCGUUAUGCGGUUUGUAUAUAAAAUAAACAAAACGAAAUACAUUGUUUUUAAUCUAUGUAAUGUAAAAUUAUAACUUUUAUUUUUGUAUCUGUAUUCUACUGUAAAAUCAGCAUUUAGAGUUUACAUUUUACACGAUUUUCCGCAAGGGCAAAACUACAAUGAUAAAGAUAAACCCAUACAAGCACACAUACACACACUACACACACGCAUAUAUAUAUACACCGCAAUCGAGACCGAAAGUAUUUUGCAAAUGUAUUACACUUACAAUUUUGUGCUAUUUUUUAAAGAUGAAACCCUGAAUUAGUGUAAGUCUGUUGGCGCAAAACGUAGAUAUGUAUUUGCCUAUAUAGUAUAUAGUAUAUGCAUACCUAUCUAAAGCUAAAGCCUUACAUGUAUCCGAAUACGAGUACCCUACACACAUGCUAAAUAUUAGAGAGAAACGCAAGAUCGCAAUUUGUGCAAGACACAAACAAAAACCUGGUAAAAACACGCGAAGAACGGAACGACUGCAUUACAAAUGUGGCAAUAAAUAAUACAUAAUUAAAAACCCCUGUAAAUUAAUAAAGGAUAAUCAAUCAUUCGCUGGCUAUUUGAGAGCAUCAAAAUUGUGAUAAAUGAGAAUUAGAAUGCGAAUGCGCGACGCAGGACACCGCCAGAGAAAGAGACCGCCAUAGAGGAGGCGAGAGAGACAGACAGACUGCAGCUGGCGAUUUGCGCGCGUUUCUGGCGCGACUAAAAACGCCCGCUUACCGUUUUUGUUUUGGCAAGAAUGCUUCGGAUCGCCCUUCUUCAACGCCUGCAUAGAGGCUCUUCAGCUGCACGAGGAGAUGGACAAGUAUAACGAAUGGCGCGAUACCCUGGGUCGCAAGUAAAGUGCGAUUCUCUGGGAUUUUCUGGCACCGUCACUGGCACGAGCAGCUACUUAAUUCUAUAAACUAUUAACUAAAACUAUUAUUAUUGAUAACUGUGGCAGAACACGGCACGAAACUAUGGCAACCAGGAAACGAUCGACCCGAGGAAUGUGUACCACUUAAAGAAACAACUAAGCUAACAUCUAGCUACAAGAGAAAGCAGAUCAAAAAUGUUGAAAAAAAAUUAUGAAAACAAUUACUAAACUAUUACACGCUACUUAUCCGCACUUAUAUCGGAAAGUUUAAAUUGGUCUAUAUAUUAUUUCUAUCAUCUGUCAUGAAACAGUCUCGUGGAGCUUUAGUUGUAGUGAAUUACGUGAAUUAUGCUUAUUUCUUUUAGUUCUUCGCGCAGAAGGAAAGCAAAAGGUUAUGCCAAGAAACAAAUAUGAGAACAAACAAACAAGCAAACAAACAAACGAACAAGAAUCAAAAUGUCUGAUGUAUAUAACUAUUUUUGUCUUCUUUUAAAGAUUUCUAUACAUAUUUAUAACGCCUAACUGAUUUGUACAUUUCUUUUAUUUCGUAAGCUUAAGUUAAUUUGUUACGGCAAUAAAUUUUACGUUCCACACCUUCCCACAUAUGCACUCCUGCAAUAGAACGGAAAUCACAUCUGAGCAACCCCACACGGCAUAAUUCGAUUCGAUUCUAUGUAGUAUUGCAAUGCCCUACGAUUACAUAACUAUUAAUUAAUUUAAACUUGUUUGGAUCUAGUCGUAAAAUAUAAAUAAAGAUUGUAUAUUUCAAGAGGA
Molecule: RNA transcript, 3528 nt
Organism: Drosophila sechellia
Lineage: Eukaryota; Metazoa; Arthropoda; Insecta; Diptera; Drosophilidae
Gene: ITP
Gene name: ion transport peptide
Exons: 4
Source: RefSeq, a predicted model, not a curated record